GAUAUGAUUUUACUGUGCGCGACACGAGCAGGUGUAUGACGUAAAACAGUCGGUCAAUGCAGUUAACCGUCCGCCAUCAGAAAACCUGUGUAACAUUUACACACAUCUCAUACCUAAAAACACAGCCGCGGUAUAUUCGCGUAAUUUCAUCACGCGGUGAAGCUGUAAUUACAGGAGAUUCAACAUGACAUAGGGGUCUUUGGAAUCUGACCUGACCUGCUCUGAACGGUCUCCUCUUUUUAGACGCCAGAGAAACAUUUUUCAAACUCUACGAUCAUGUCAAGUAGUUAUACUCCAGCCCCUGGGGGCCCUUUUUCGGCGCUCACUCCAAGCAUGUGGCCUCAGGAGAUCUUGGCGAAGUAUUAUCAGGUUACUUAUGGCAUUGUGGCUAGAUUGAGACAUUUUGAUAAAAGGGUCAUUCUGUGUCAACUCAACCAGAGGUUAACAUCCCUAAAAUUACCCUAUAGCUCAAAGAAAUAUAGAAUCUUAUAAAUAAACUAUUCAGAGCAAGUUAAUAUGCAUUAACCCGGUUAUUUUUGACAGUAACUUUGACAGUAACUGUUUAGUGCAGUUGUUUUAAU
Molecule: long non-coding RNA, 581 nt
Organism: Triplophysa rosa
Lineage: Eukaryota; Metazoa; Chordata; Actinopteri; Cypriniformes; Nemacheilidae
Exons: 3
Source: RefSeq, a predicted model, not a curated record